AGACGGGACCCGCACAAGCGGUGGAUGAUGUGGUUUAAUUCGAUGCAACGCGAAAAACCUUACCCACCUUUGACAUGUAUGGAAGUUUCCAGAGAUGGAUUCGUGCUCGAAAGAGAGCCAUAACACAGGUGCUGCAUGGCUGUCGUCAGCUCGUGUCGUGAGAUGUUGGGUUAAGUCCCGCAACGAGCGCAACCCUUGUCAUUAGUUGCUACAUUCAGUUGGGCACUCUAAUGAGACUGCCGGUGACAAACCGGAGGAAGGUGGGGAUGACGUCAAGUCCUCAUGGCCCUUAUAGGUGGGGCUACACACGUCAUACAAUGGCCGGUACAAAGGGUCGCAAACCCGCGAGGGGGAGCCAAUCCAUCAAAGCCGGUCGUAGUCCGGAUCGCAGUCUGCAACUCGACUGCGUGAAGUCGGAAUCGCUAGUAAUCGUGGAUCAGCAUGUCACGGUGAAUACGUUCCCGGGUCUU
RNAcentral lists this ribosomal RNA (470 nucleotides) under uncultured Hydrogenophaga sp. RNAcentral's name for it is "bacterial SSU rRNA". It matches the Rfam family "Bacterial small subunit ribosomal RNA", at positions 916 to 1381 of the family's 1533-position model. The record is from RNAcentral. Lineage: Bacteria; Pseudomonadati; Pseudomonadota; Betaproteobacteria; Burkholderiales; Comamonadaceae.